GAUGAACGCUGGCGGUCUGCUUAACACAUGCAAGUCGAACGAACUCUUCGGAGUGAGUGGCGGACGGGUGAGUAACGCGUGAGAAUCUGCCUGUGGGUCGGGGACAACCACUGGAAACGGUGGCUAAUACCGGAUGAGCCGAAAGGUAAAAAAUUUAUUGCCCACAGAUGAGCCCGCGUCUGAUUAGCUAGUUGGUAAGGUAAAAGCGUACCAAGGCGACGAUCAGUAGCUGGUCUGAGAGGAUGAGCAGCCACACUGGGACUGAGACACGGCCCAGACUCCUACGGGAGGCAGCAGUGGGGAAUUUUCCGCAAUGGGCGAAAGCCUGACGGAGCAAGACCGCGUGGGGGAGGAAGGUUUUUGGAUCGUAAACCCCUUUUGUCAAGGAAGAAGUUCUGACGGUACUUGACGAAUAAGCCUCGGCUAACUCCGUGCCAGCAGCCGCGGUAAUACGGAGGAGGCAAGCGUUAUCCGGAAUGAUUGGGCGUAAAGCGUCUGUAGGUGGCCAGCUAAGUCUGCUGUUAAAGAUCACAGCUCA
RNAcentral lists this ribosomal RNA (538 nucleotides) under uncultured bacterium. Its description in RNAcentral is "bacterial SSU rRNA". It matches the Rfam family "Bacterial small subunit ribosomal RNA", at positions 28 to 611 of the family's 1533-position model. The record is from RNAcentral.